Molecule: ribosomal RNA, 253 nt
Filed under: uncultured bacterium
Lineage: Bacteria
Description: partial 16S ribosomal RNA
Rfam family: Bacterial small subunit ribosomal RNA
Source: RNAcentral
GACAGAGGCCUCGAGCGUUAGGCGGAAUUACUGGGCGUAAAGCGUGCGCAGGCGGUUGUGUAAGACAGAUGUGAAAUCCCCGGGCUCAACCUGGGAACUGCAUUUGUGACUGCACAGCUGGAGUGCGGCAGAGGGGGAUGGAAUUCCGCGUGUAGCAGUGAAAUGCGUAGAUAUGCGGAGGAACACCGAUGGCGAAGGCAAUCCCCUGGGCCUGCACUGACGCUCAUGCACGAAAGCGUGGGGAGCAAACAGG